AACUUCAUUGGGUGGCGUUUGCGGAAAAGGACGCAUUCCACACUCCACAGUAUUGACUAGAGACUCCAACUCAAACCGUUUUUUGUUGGCAAGCAAUGUAAGAACCUGUCCUGACGGGGUGGAGUUUGAUAGAGCCAUAACGUGCCUUUCAGCUGAACCGUGUCAGAAUGGAGGAUACAGCAUCACUGAUCAAAUGGGACGCUUCUUAAGAUGUCACUGCCGUUACGGAUUCAGUUCACCGUUAUGUGAAUAUCAGUGUGAGAUUAAGACAAAUCCUCUGCCCGGACAUAGUCUGAGGCGUUUAGACUGGUCAAGAAAACGAAUAGCGAUGACUUUCAAAGCUACGACAAUAGGUUUAGUAUUAUCUGCUAACAGGAAUACAAACAACC
Lytechinus variegatus (green sea urchin) is the source of this 389-nucleotide long non-coding RNA. RefSeq lists it as uncharacterized. Lineage: Eukaryota; Metazoa; Echinodermata; Echinoidea; Temnopleuroida; Toxopneustidae. The record is from RefSeq and is a predicted model, not a curated record. The transcript is spliced from 3 exons.